AGUGAACGCUGGCGGUAGGCCUAACACAUGCAAGUCGAACGGCAGCACAGUAAGAGCUUGCCCUUACGGGUGGCGAGUGGCGGACGGGUGAGGCAUACAUCGGAAUCUACUUUUUCGUGGGGGAUAACGUAGGGAAACUUACGCUAAUACCGCAUACGACCUACGGGUGAAAGCAGGGGAUCUUCGGACUUUUCGCGUUAGAAUGAGCCGACGUCGGAUUAGCUAGUUGGCGGGGUAAAGGCCCACCAAGGCGACGAUCCGUAGCUGAUCUGAGAGGAUGAUCAGCCACACUGGAACUGAGACACGGUCCAGACUCCUACGGGAGGCAGCAGUGGGGAAUAUUGGACAAUGGGCGCAAGCCUGAUCCAGCCAUGCCGCGUGGGUGAAGAAGGCCUUCGGGUUGUAAAGCCCUUUUGUUGGGAAAGAAAAGCAGCAGGUUAAUACCCCGCUGUUCUGACGGUACCCAAAGAAUAAGCACCGGCUAACUUCGUG
RNAcentral lists this ribosomal RNA (492 nucleotides) under uncultured bacterium. RNAcentral's name for it is "partial 16S ribosomal RNA". It matches the Rfam family "Bacterial small subunit ribosomal RNA", at positions 29 to 507 of the family's 1533-position model. The record is from RNAcentral.